This 976-nucleotide ribosomal RNA is filed under the name uncultured delta proteobacterium. RNAcentral's name for it is "bacterial SSU rRNA". It matches the Rfam family "Bacterial small subunit ribosomal RNA", at positions 8 to 972 of the family's 1533-position model. Lineage: Bacteria; Deltaproteobacteria. The record is from RNAcentral.
AGAGUUUGAUCCUGGCUCAGAACGAACGCUGGCGGCGUGCUUAACACAUGCAAGUCGAACGCGAAAUUUUUUCUUCGGAAGAAAGAGUAGAGUGGCGCACGGGUGAGUAACGCGUAAGUAAUCUACCCUGGCAUUUGGGAUAACCCACCGAAAGGUGGGCUAAUACCGGAUACGUUGGAAAUAUCCAAGAAAGGUGGCCUCUGAUUCAAGCUACUGUGCUGGGAGGAGCUUGCGUACCAUUAGCUAGUUGGUAGGGUAAAGGCCUACCAAGGCGACGAUGGUUAGCGGGUCUGAGAGGAUGAUCCGCCACACUGGAACUGGAACACGGACCAGACUCCUACGGGAGGCAGCAGUGAGGAAUAUUGCGCAAUGGGGGAAACCCUGACGCAGCGACGCCGCGUGGAUGAUGAAGGCCUUCGGGUCGUAAAAUCCUGUCAGAUGGAAAGAAAUGUAGGUGUGCUAAUAUCGCAUCUAUUUGACGGUACCAUCAAAGGAAGCACCGGCUAACUCCGUGCCAGCAGCCGCGGUAAUACGGAGGGUGCAAGCGUUGUUCGGAAUUACUGGGCGUAAAGCGCGCGUAGGCGGCUCUAUAAGUCAGAUGUGAAAGUCCACGGCUCAACCGUGGAAGUGCAUUUGAAACUGUCGAGCUUGAGUAUUGGAGGGGGUGGUGGAAUUCCCGGUGUAGAGGUGAAAUUCGUAGAUAUCGGGAGGAAUACCGGUGGCGAAGGCGACCACCUGGCCAAAUACUGACGCUGAGGUGCGAAAGCGUGGGGAGCAAACAGGAUUAGAUACCCUGGUAGUCCACGCCGUAAACGAUGUCAACUAGGUGUUGGGGAGGUUAAUCUUCUCAUUGCCGCAGCUAACGCAUUAAGUUGACCGCCUGGGGAGUACGGUCGCAAGAUUAAAACUCAAGGGAAUUGACGGGGGCCCCCAAAGCGGUGGAGUAUGUGGUUUAUUCGACGCACGCGCAAACCUU